UAUACACUGAACUUUUGAAUACUGCACACUGCACCUUUAAAUAUACAUAUUGCAUAUUAUACCAGAGGAUGAAACUGACUCUAGACUUCAGAGAGGACUGUGGUCUUACCGUAGAUGAACCAUAUGAAAAUAACAGAACCAGGCUGAGGGAUGCACACACUCCAGAUCAUGCUCUCGGCAACAGCAGGACAGAGCUUUAGAACGGCAAUCAUUCCCAUCAUGAGCAGGACCGAUACCCCUAUAACUAUUAUGUACACCGGGAGAAGUGGAGCUACUGGACAGGUCGUGCAGAUGCAGAGAUUCAGAGGACACAGAUGGGUUCUUCCCUUACAACCUUGUCCUCUACAAUGUGUAUUUUCAACGUUUCAAAAUGGCUAUAACCCUGCUGUUAAGGUGUCUACAGCAGCUGGCCAUUGUUGCAGCUUCAACAAGUACUAGUAAUCAUCCCAAUUGCACUCAGAAGAUUUGUGCUGUCCCUCAACUAGAGGUUGCUGUGAAAACUGUAAAAGCUUUGUCCAGAUAAUGUGCCUUACAUUGAGCUUUAAUAUUAAUCUCCCUGUUAUGACAACUUUAGCAGCAAAGAUUGCCUCAAAAUAUCCUCACUAGUGAGCAUUUCAGUCUCCUUUAUUAAUAUCAAUGUGAAGAACACAUGACUGUACUGUGCUGGUUUGAGUUUGUCUUCUGUAACCGGAACUUUUUUUUCGUUUCAUAAAUGAUUGUGGAUGUUAAAGCUACUGUAAGAAUUUUUUCAGCCCAAUAUGAAACAAAGUGAAUUAUUA
Molecule: long non-coding RNA, 779 nt
Organism: Notolabrus celidotus (New Zealand spotty)
Lineage: Eukaryota; Metazoa; Chordata; Actinopteri; Labriformes; Labridae
Exons: 3
Source: RefSeq, a predicted model, not a curated record